CGGCAGCCCUAGUGGUGACCGUUUUUAUUGGGCCUAAAGCGUUCGUAGCCGGAUAGGCAAGUCUUUGGGUAAAUCCUACGUCUUAAGCGUGGGACUUCUAAAGAUACUACCUGUCUUGAGGCCGGGAGAGGCUAGAGGUACUCCUGGGGUAGGGGUAAAAUCCUAUAAUCCCAGGGGGACCACCGAUGGCGAAGGCAUCUAGCUGGAACGGGCCUGACGGUGAGGAACGAAACCCAGGGGAGCGAGCCGGAUUAGAGACCCGUGUAGUCC
RNAcentral lists this ribosomal RNA (270 nucleotides) under uncultured archaeon. RNAcentral describes it as "partial 16S ribosomal RNA". It matches the Rfam family "Archaeal small subunit ribosomal RNA", at positions 477 to 747 of the family's 1478-position model. The record is from RNAcentral.